Non-coding RNA from Acanthosepion pharaonis, 101 nucleotides. The record is from the annotation of a GenBank genome assembly. Lineage: Eukaryota; Metazoa; Mollusca; Cephalopoda; Sepiida; Sepiidae.
UACAGCCACAUCAUGUUGAAACACCGGUUCCCAUACGAUCACUGAAGUUAAGCAACGUCGAACCUGGUCAGUACCUAGAUUGGGAAUACCAGGUGCUGAAU